UAAUUAAAAAUAACAAAUAAAAAUAACUAGUAAUUAUAUAAUUAAGGGUAAAAUAUGUAUAUAAAUUAUGCUCAUCAAAUACCCCCAAACUUAGAUUUUGCUAGUCCUCGAGCAAAACUAAAAUUUAAAACAAAAAUAAAAAUAACAACACAAAAAGUAAAUCCUAACUAAACCACUUUCGCAGGUAAUCGCGAUUGCAUUUAGCACAUGCAACAAGCCUUUAAACCCCUAGGCGGCCCUAGUGGACGAGUUAUAGUCUCGUGAGGGCUUCAGUGAUGAUACCCACAAACAUCAUUUAAAAAAAAAUAAAUUAAAUUAAAUCAAAAGAACGAAAAACUUUAAAUAAACCAUGAAAAAUAGCCUCAAAGAUUGCAAAAAUUAUAUAGCUCAAAGAAAAUUUCAAAUAUUAGCAAAGUUCUAACUUUAAUUCAAUAGUCAAUCCCACCUCUCUUUCAAUUCUUGUAGUGUGUGUGUGAAAUCAAUUCAAUCAAAUCCAUUCCCAAAAUCCUCAACAUCAACAGCCUUCGCCUCAAACAAAGAACAGAGUAGGUCAAACUAAUCUUAUCAUCUUGAUCUCCAAUUUUUUUCUCUCACAGGCUUUUAUGUGCAUUUUCUUUUGAUUUUUUUUUCAGCACAUGCACUUGAUUUUUUUUUUUCUUCUCUUUUUUUUUUCAACCAUAGUCAGGAGCUUUCACUCUACCCCUUAAGGUAGCCUUCUUCUCAUGGUAGAUUAUCCUCUACAUACUUGUGGUACAUAGGCCCAAAUUACUCAAGGAUAGCUUCACUCUUAAGGGUUAUAGGUAGCUAUUUCUGACUUUGGUGCCCGUGUAUACUAUUUUGUAUUGUGGAGAUAAGAAUCAAGACAAACAGUCAUUUACUCUAUCUAAAAUUCUCAACUCAGGCUGCGUCAAUAUCAAAUUUCAAGUCAAAAUUACGAAAGAAUUGAUAUUAGUGCUCAUGGUUUAAAGAAUCUCAAUCAAGAGGAACUAACACAAGAAUCAAGUAUAAACUAAGACAAUAUUCAACCCUUUCUAAAAACCAUAUUCAUUGUCAAUCAAAUUUUUAUCAUUGGCUUUUCACAUAAAAACAAAAAACAACAAAAUUUUUUUUAAUUUUUAUUUAAAUUUUUCAAUUUUUUUUUUGUUUUUUUUUUAACAAACAAAACACACACUAUUCCCACCCCCAAACUUAUUUGGAACAUUGUCCUCAAUGUUGCACAAACAAAAGAUAUGCAUGCAAACAAAUGAAAGAAAUAAUAA
This 1259-nucleotide long non-coding RNA is filed under the name Citrus x clementina. RNAcentral describes it as "Citrus clementina (C. clementina) long non-coding RNA (CCLE_LNC005018)". The record is from RNAcentral. Lineage: Eukaryota; Viridiplantae; Streptophyta; Magnoliopsida; Sapindales; Rutaceae.